RNAcentral lists this ribosomal RNA (466 nucleotides) under uncultured bacterium. RNAcentral describes it as "partial 16S ribosomal RNA". It matches the Rfam family "Bacterial small subunit ribosomal RNA", at positions 339 to 795 of the family's 1533-position model. The record is from RNAcentral.
CUACGGGGGGCUGCAGUGGGGAAUAUCGGACAAUGGGGGAAACCCUGAUCCAGCAAUGCCGCGUGUGUGAAGAAGGCCUGCGGGUUGUAAAGCACUUUCGGUUGGGAGGACUGCUUCUAGCACUAAUAUUGUUGGAAGUUGACGUUACCUUCAGAAGAAGCACCGGCUAACUCCGUGCCAGCAGCCGCGGUAAUACGGCAGGGUGCAAGCGUUAAUCGGAAUUACUGGGCGUAAAGCGCGCGUAGGCGGCUAGAUCAGUCGGGUGUGAAAGCCCCGGGCUUAACCUGGGAACUGCAUCCGAUACUGUCUAGCUUGAGUACAGGAGAGGAGAGUGGAAUUCCACAUGUAGCGGUGAAAUGCGUAGAUAUGUGGAGGAACACCAAUGGCGAAGGCAGCUCUCUGGCCUGAUACUGACGCUGAGGUGCGAAAGCGUGGGGAGCAAACAGGAUUAGAUACCCGUGUAGUC